AACCCAUGGUGAGGGCACCUUUUUAACAGAUACUUGUAUCUCUCCCAUGCAUCGUAGAGUGUUUUUAAAUCCAUCUGCACAAAAGAGGAGAUAUCAUUACGUAAUUU
This is a small nucleolar RNA of Gossypium arboreum, 107 nucleotides long. It matches the Rfam family "Plant small nucleolar RNA R71". From Rfam's summary of the family: R71 is a member of the C/D box family of snoRNAs containing the C (UGAUGA) and D (CUGA) box motifs. The record is from Rfam. NCBI's taxonomy places the organism in Eukaryota, Viridiplantae, Streptophyta, Magnoliopsida, Malvales, Malvaceae.